AUUGAACGCUGGCGGCAGGCCUAACACAUGCAAGUCGAACGGUAACAGGAAACAGCUUGCUGUUUCGCUGACGAGUGGCGGACGGGUGAGUAAUGUCUGGGGAACUGCCUGAUGGAGGGGGAUAACUACUGGAAACGGUAGCUAAUACCGCAUAACGUCGCAAGACCAAAGAGGGGGACCUUCGGGCCUCUUGCCAUCGGAUGUGCCCAGAUGGGAUUAGCUAGUAGGUGGGGUAACGGCUCACCUAGGCGACGAUCCCUAGCUGGUCUGAGAGGAUGACCAGCCACACUGGAACUGAGACACGGUCCAGACUCCUACGGGAGGCAGCAGUGGGGAAUAUUGCACAAUGGGCGCAAGCCUGAUGCAGCCAUGCCGCGUGUAUGAAGAAGGCCUUCGGGUUGUAAAGUACUUUCAGCGGGGAGGAAGGGAGUAAAGUUAAUACCUUUGCUCAUCGACGUUACCCGCAGAAGAAGCACCGGCUAACUCCGUGCCAGCAGCCGCGGUAA
RNAcentral lists this ribosomal RNA (506 nucleotides) under uncultured bacterium. Its description in RNAcentral is "partial 16S ribosomal RNA". It matches the Rfam family "Bacterial small subunit ribosomal RNA", at positions 30 to 523 of the family's 1533-position model. The record is from RNAcentral.